CCUACGGGGGGCAGCAGUGGGGAAUAUUGGGCAAUGGGCGCAAGCCUGACCCAGCAACGCCGCGUGAAGGAAGAAGGCUUUCGGGUUGUAAACUUCUUUUCUGAGGGACGAAGAAAGUGACGGUACCUCAGGAAUAAGCCACGGCUAACUACGUGCCAGCAGCCGCGGUAAUACGUAGGUGGCAAGCGUUAGCCGGAUUUAGUGGGGGUAAAGGGCGUGUAGGCGGGAAAGCAAGUCAGAUGUGAAAACUCAGGGCUCAACCCUGAGCCUGCAUUUGAAACUGUUUUUCUUGAGUGGUGGAGAGGCAAUCGGAAUUCCGGGUGUAGAGGUGAAAUGCGUAGAUAUACGGAGGAACACCAGUGGCGAAGGCGGAUUGCUGGACAGUAACUGACGCUGAGGCGCGAAAGCGUGGGGAGCAAACAGGAUUAGAUACCCGUGUGUC
RNAcentral lists this ribosomal RNA (442 nucleotides) under uncultured bacterium. RNAcentral's name for it is "partial 16S ribosomal RNA". It matches the Rfam family "Bacterial small subunit ribosomal RNA", at positions 338 to 795 of the family's 1533-position model. The record is from RNAcentral.